AGAGGGUGCGAGCGUUAAUCGGAAUUACUGGGCGUAAAGCGUGCGUAGACGGUUAUUUAAGUCGGGUGUGAAAGCCCCGGGCUCAACCUGGGAAUUGCAUUCGAGACUGAAUAGCUUGGGUACGGUAGAGGGAAGUGGAAUUUCCGGUGUAGCGGUGAAAUGCGUAGAUAUCGGAAGGAACAUCAGUGGCGAAAGCGACUUCCUGGACCAGUACCGACGUUCAGGCACGAAAGCGUGGGGAGCAAACAGGAUUAGAUACCCUGGUAGUCCACGCCAUAAACGAUGAGGACUAGACGUUGGAGGGGUAAGCCUUUCAGUGUCGUAGCUAACGCGCUAAGUCCUCCGCCUGGGGAGUACGGCCGCAAGGUUG
RNAcentral lists this ribosomal RNA (370 nucleotides) under uncultured bacterium. RNAcentral's name for it is "bacterial SSU rRNA". It matches the Rfam family "Bacterial small subunit ribosomal RNA", at positions 527 to 896 of the family's 1533-position model. The record is from RNAcentral.